This 440-nucleotide ribosomal RNA is filed under the name uncultured bacterium. RNAcentral describes it as "partial 16S ribosomal RNA". It matches the Rfam family "Bacterial small subunit ribosomal RNA", at positions 338 to 795 of the family's 1533-position model. The record is from RNAcentral.
CCUACGGGGGGCUGCAGUGGGGAAUAUUGGACAAUGGGGGAAACCCUGAUCCAGCAAUGCCGCGUGGGUGAUGAAGGCCUUCGGGUUGUAAAGCCCUUUCGGCGGGGACGAUGAUGACGGUACCCGCAGACGAAGCCCCGGCUAACUUCGUGCCAGCAGCCGCGGUAAUACGAAGUGGGCUAGCGUUGUUCGGCAUUACUGGGCGUAAAGGGCGCGUAGGCGGCCCCGCGCGUCGAGCGUGAAAGGCCUGGGCUCAACCCAGGAAUGGCGUUCGAUACGGCAGGGCUCGAGUGCAGGAGAGGAUGGUGGAAUUCCCAGUGUAGAGGUGAAAUUCGUAGAUAUUGGGAAGAACACCGGUGGCGAAGGCGGCCAUCUGGACUGCAACUGACGCUGAGGCGCGAAAGCGUGGGGAGCAAACAGGAUUAGAUACCCGUGUAGUC